This 2030-nucleotide long non-coding RNA is filed under the name Sarcophilus harrisii (Tasmanian devil). RNAcentral's name for it is "lncRNA (ENSSHAG00000026324.1)". Lineage: Eukaryota; Metazoa; Chordata; Mammalia; Dasyuromorphia; Dasyuridae. The record is from RNAcentral.
CCUUCCUCCACCUUUCGCUUUUUUUUUCCCUCCUCCUUUUCCCGGAGCAAGAGAUGCUGAGUUGGGGAAAGAGGAAUUGCUCGUUUUUUAGGAGAAAGGAAACCCGGAAAGUCUCGCCCUGCACCCGGCUGCAUCAGGUGGCCCUCGCUCUGGCCGCCACCGAGUCCGUUCUGCGGAACCUGAGUCUCCCCGCUCUGGCUGCCAGCGCCGUCCCGGUCCUGGAGCUGCUCUCGGCCGUGAGGAGCGACGUGGUCGCCUGCAUGCCCCGGCCCAGCCUCGGCUCCCUCUCUCAAUCUUCCGCUAGCCCUGGAGCCCCAGACUCUGCUCACGGGGGAGCCUGGGCGGGCAGAUCCAGGGACGCGGCCCGCUUAGCUGAACGCCGGCUUGCGGAAAAUCAGCCCUGGGCGCGGGCCCCAGAGAGAGCGCGGCCCGGCCAGGGGGGAUGGGCUCAGCCCCUAGAUUUCCACACUCAAGCGCCCCCCAUCCGCGGCCAGCCGGACGGAGUGGAUCCGAGCUCCGAGAAAAAGAAGAGAAUGCACAAAGCGAGGAGACCGGUGAGAGUGCAAUGAGGCGGGAGGAAGGAGAGCUAGAAGAUUGGGGGGCGGGGAAGUGGGGGAGGGGGAGGGGAGGAGAGGGGAGCGAUCCCGAAGGGAAAAAUGAAGAUGCGUCUGUUCUCCGCUAGGAAAGUCCCCGAUGUCGCGAAGCCGAGGCGGUUCUCAGCCUCCUGAGGCUGCUCACCUUUGACCUGAAGCUGGCGGUUCUCGCAGGGCCCUGUGCCUCAGCUAAGUAGUCCCGGAUCCAAAGCGGUUUGCUCUACGGGCGCUUUCCACCGGCGGUGCUGUGUCCCUGCGCCAACUGGCCAGCGAGGGGGUCAGGCUCCGCGCUGCGCCUUCGCCAGCGCUCAUUUCCCGAGAACAGCAUCAGACGGCAGGAGACCGGGGAUUUGUGCAGUGCCUCAGGUUCAAAACCCAGGCCCGGGGCCCGGGUAGGGGGCACAGGAAUGGGGGACGUUAUGAUCACUGAGGGAGGGGCGGCUAGGUGGCUCAGUGGGUAGAAUCCCGGCCCUGGAUUUAAGAGGACCUGAUUUCACUCAGAACUAGCUGUGUUACCCCCGGCAAAGUCACUUAACCCCAUUGCCUCAAAAGAAAAAUCCGGGUGGUCCAGUUGGGCAAUUCGCCGCAGGUCCUUGAACCUCAGUAUCUCCACAGCUGUAAAAUGGGACUAAAAACAGGGUAGUGUGAUAGAAAUUUGAGAGGCACCUGCAAUCGGGAAAUCUUGGUUCAAAUCCUGCCUUUGUCGUUGUCUACCAAAAUCACUUUGGAGAAAUUAUCCAAUCUGGGAAAUGGGGAUAAUACACCAAAUCGUUGGCGUGUGAUGCAAAGGAAAAUGGACCUGGAGUCUGCAGCCUUCGUGAUGACUGUGGAACACUGCACAAGUCACUUACCCAACCGGAUCACAAUUUCCUCCUGUAAAAUGGAGCUCAUACUUGAAGUAUUUAGCUCGCAAGAUUGUUGUGAGCAACGUGUUCUGUCCAUGAAAUGGUUUUGCAAAUGUGAAUGUCAUUAUCCUGCCCACCUCCUAAGGUUGCACAUGGCGAAAGGGCCUUGACUUUUGCAGAAUGCUUCCUAAAUAUGAUACUUUGUGAAGAGUAGAUUGUGAAACCUCUGUGAGGUAUAAUUCUGUCAAUGAGAUACAGAUGUUAUUUUUUUAAGUGAUUUUCCUUCCCCUUCUUUUCCCUGAUAAUUUAUCGUUAUUUAUAAACCUCUUACAAACGAUGGUGUCUUGUAACUCACUCCUUGCACACUCACUCCGGGCCUACAGGAUGGCAGCUCAAAGUCUUCAUCACAUUCUUAAAAAUCUCGGGGUCCCAUCAAAAAUAGUGAAGGGCAAUGUUUUGGGGUGGAGAGAGGGGGAGGAGCGGGACUGCUCUGGGCCAAUUCUGUAGCCGAUUCCUGAAUCACUGUGUGAUUGCACCUUCCCAAAUAUUUCUUGUUUUUGUUUCCCUACAAAAGGUGUCUAUGUUGGGUGUG